RNAcentral lists this unclassified non-coding RNA (358 nucleotides) under Glycosmis trifoliata. Its description in RNAcentral is "partial miscellaneous RNA". Lineage: Eukaryota; Viridiplantae; Streptophyta; Magnoliopsida; Sapindales; Rutaceae. The record is from RNAcentral.
CWAGUUGSUMYUGAAGCCCCAUYCUACAAUGGAUAAGAUUUUGGUCUUUGUGUAGGCGGGUUUUUGAAAAUACUGGAUCAAUACCCCAGCUGGGGUAUUGAUCCAGUAUUUAGUCGGGUUUCUUUAUCGGGGUUCUUUAGUAGUUUUUUAGUUCAUUUUUUUUUUGAAGUAUUUUUAUGCUUUUUCUUUCUUUUCUUUGAUUUAGUAUGAUAUUUUUGGUAUGCGCUAAUAUUACUAAWAAAUUUAAUAAAUUCAAAAAUUUCUAAUUUUUGAAUUAGAUUAUUAAUUAGAGUCACAUUUUCUAAUUUUACAGUUAAUUUCAUAGCAAAGAAAAAARACAAWAGAAAGGUUGUAGWUU